AGCAGCCGCGGUAAUUCCAGCUCCAAUAGCGUAUAUUAAAGUUGUUGCAGUUAAAAAGCUCGUAGUUGAAUUUCGGGAUCAGUACGCUGGUCAUGCCUUUGGUAUGCACUGGUGUCACUGGUUUCUCCCUUCUGAAGAACCGUGAUGUCAUUAAUUUGGUGUCGCGGGGAAUCAGGACUGUUACUUUGAAAAAUUAGAGUGUUUAAAGCAGGCUCACGCUUGAAUACAUUAGCAUGGAAUAAUGAAAUAGGACGUUUGACCCUAUUUUGUUGGUUUCUAGGAUCGACGUAAUGAUUAAUAGGGAUAGUUGGGGGCAUUAGUAUUCAAUUGUCAGAGGUGAAAUUCUUGGAUUUAUUGAAGACUAACUACUGCGAAAGCAUUUGCCAAGGAUGUUUUCAUUAAUCAAGAACGAAAGUUAGGGGAUCGAAGACGAUCAGAUACCGUCGUAGUCUUAACCAUAAACUAUGCCGACUAGGGAUCGGAUGAUGUUAAUUUUUAAUGA
This 502-nucleotide ribosomal RNA is filed under the name uncultured Glomus. RNAcentral's name for it is "SSU rRNA". It matches the Rfam family "Eukaryotic small subunit ribosomal RNA", at positions 569 to 1074 of the family's 1831-position model. The record is from RNAcentral. Lineage: Eukaryota; Fungi; Glomeromycota; Glomeromycetes; Glomerales; Glomeraceae.